AUUGAACGCUGGCGGCAGGCCUAACACAUGCAAGUCGAGCGAGCGGCGGACGGGUGAGUAAUGUAUUGGGACUGCCCGCUCGAGGGGGCUAACUACUGGACACGGUGGCUACUACCGCAUCCUAUCGGAUAACCCAUAUGGGAUUAGCUAGUAGGUGGGGUAAAGGCUCACCUAGGCGACGCUCUCUAGCUGGUCUGAGAGGAUGAUCAGCCACAAGGGGACUGAGACACGGCCCAGACUCAUACGGAGGCAGCAGUGGGGAAUAUUGCACAAUGGGUGCAAGCCUGAUGCAGCCAUGCCGCGUGUAUGAAGAAGGCCUUAGGGUUGUAAAGUACUGUCAGCGGGGAGGCGUUACCCGCAGAAGAAGCACCGGCUAACUCCGGGCCAGCAGCCGCGGUAAUAC
This 403-nucleotide ribosomal RNA is filed under the name uncultured bacterium. RNAcentral describes it as "partial 16S ribosomal RNA". It matches the Rfam family "Bacterial small subunit ribosomal RNA", at positions 30 to 526 of the family's 1533-position model. The record is from RNAcentral.